Molecule: long non-coding RNA, 833 nt
Organism: Mus musculus (house mouse)
Lineage: Eukaryota; Metazoa; Chordata; Mammalia; Rodentia; Muridae
Product: predicted gene, 41905
Exons: 3
Source: RefSeq, a predicted model, not a curated record
UCAGGAACCUCUUGCCUGGGGGUUUGUUGUAGGACUCCUGAGAAUAUGUAGUCUCUGGUACUUGGUGAUUUCCCAGCAAGAUUUCAGAGGAGUGAACUGUGGGCCAGAGGAGGUUGGAGGCACGCGAGCCAAGAUUGCUGGGGAGGGCUCCUUCUCUGCCUACGGGGAGCUUCCCCCACCCUACAACCUUGACUCAGAUCGGGAGGAAGUUGAGGCUUCAUAGAAAAAUGUCACCCAUUAUCAGGGACAAACCAGAACUGCCUGCUGCUGGCUGCUGCUGUCACGGAGAGCACUCAUUGCUGGCCUGCUAUGUGAGGAAGCCCACUGAUUUUGGACAGCUGGAUCUCAUGAAGGCUUUUCCUCAACAGAGGCUCCUUCCUCUCUGAAGACUCUAACCUGACCCACAAACCCAUCAGUCCAGGGAGAAAGGUUCAGGAUUCGGGACUGCCUCAAAGACCAGAGAGAACAGCAACAAUAUGGAUGUCAGACCACAAAACUUCAAGAGUGCUGAAGGCCAGGCUGCUCCCUAGGUAUGUUUGUGAAGUUACCGAUCAGAACUGAGUCGCUGGAAUUCCAUGUGGUCAUCCUCAUGCCUUCCAAGGCUGCUAAGAUGCUGGACUGGAUGCCAGGUGGGAAGUGGGCAAUCCUUAGAAUGUUGCUGCAGCUGCUUAUGUGUGAACAAAACUGGCCUGAUUCACUCUAAACCGAACCAGAUUUCCAAAGCCAAGUACUGUUUGUCCAGCCUUCCUUGUCCCUUCUUAGCCUUCUGAGAAGUAUGACAAUGCACUUGGAAAUACAACCAGCUUCUUCAAAUAAAAUGAUUCCGUAUUUAA